UAUUCUGCCCUACGGGGAAGGAUGAGAAGCUUCGACUAAGGUUCGACUCGAGCGUCAGCGAGAGAACGUUGCCGCAGGCAACGGCCCGAAGGGCGAGGCGCUUUAGCGCCGAGUAAUCCUUCCCCCACCACCA
RNAcentral lists this small RNA (133 nucleotides) under Klebsiella aerogenes. Its description in RNAcentral is "RtT RNA". It matches the Rfam family "RtT RNA". From Rfam's summary of the family: This family represents a bacterial cis-regulatory element known as RtT RNA. The exact function of RtT is unknown although it is thought that it may be involved in changing the cellular response in relation to amino acid starvation. Lineage: Bacteria; Pseudomonadati; Pseudomonadota; Gammaproteobacteria; Enterobacterales; Enterobacteriaceae. The record is from RNAcentral. RNAcentral also lists the same sequence under 2 other names.